RNAcentral lists this ribosomal RNA (486 nucleotides) under uncultured bacterium. Its description in RNAcentral is "bacterial SSU rRNA". It matches the Rfam family "Bacterial small subunit ribosomal RNA", at positions 8 to 526 of the family's 1533-position model. The record is from RNAcentral.
AGAGUUUGAUCAUGGCUCAGAAUCAACGCUGGCGGCGCGCUUAACACAUGCAAGUCGAACGAGAAAGUGGAGCAAUCCAUGAGUAAAGUGGCGUACGGGUGAGUAACACGUGGGUAAUCUACCCUCUGGUGGGGAAUAACUCUGGGAAACCGGAGCUAAUACCGCAUAAGACCGGAAGGUGAAAGGCGCAAGUCGCCGGAGGAGGAGCCCGCGGCCGAUUAGCUGGAUGGUAGGGUAACGGCCUACCAUGGCUGAGAUCGGUAGCCGGCCUGAGAGGGCACACGGCCACACUGGCACUGAAACACGGGCCAGACUCCUACGGGAGGCAGCAAUGGGGAAUCUUGCACAAUGGGGGAAACCCUGAUGCAGCGACGCCGCGUGAGCGAUGAAGCCCUUCGGGGUGUAAAGCUCUUUCGGCAGGGACGAUAAUGACGGUACCUGCAGAAGAAGCUGCGGCUAACUACGUGCCAGCCGCCGCGGUAAUAC